Molecule: long non-coding RNA, 831 nt
Organism: Oncorhynchus tshawytscha (Chinook salmon)
Lineage: Eukaryota; Metazoa; Chordata; Actinopteri; Salmoniformes; Salmonidae
Source: Ensembl
GUUUCUCUAAGCUGUUCUCUAAGUUUUUUAAAAAGCUGUUCUCUAUGUUUCAAGUCUGAAUGUGCCCUCAUGGCUGUUCUCUGUGUUUCUCUGGCUGUUCUCUCUUCUCUCUGUUCUCUGUGCUUCUCUAAGCUGUUCUCUAUGUUUCUCUAUGCUGUUCUCUAUGUUUCUCUAAGCUGUACUCUAUGCUUCUCUUAGCUGUUCUCUAUGCUUCAUUAAGCUGUUCUCUAUGUUUCUCUCAGCUGUUGUCUAUGUUUCUCUCAGCUGUACUCUAUGCUUCUCUUAGCUGUUCUCUAUGCUUCUCUAAGCUGUUCUCUAUGUUUCUCUCAGCUGUUCUCUAUGCUUCUCUAAGCUGUUCUCUGUGCUUCUCUAAGCUGUUCUCUAUGUUUCUCUCAGCUGUUCUCUAUGUUUCUCUAAGCUGUUCUCUGUGCUUCUCUAAGCUGUUCUCUAUGUUUCUCUCAGCUGUUCUCUAUGCUUCUCUAAGCUGUUCUCUGUGCUUCUCUAAGCUGUUCUCUAUGCUUCUCUAAGCUGUUCUCUAUGCUUCUCUAAGCUGUUCUCUGUGCUUCUCUAAGCUGUUCUCUAUGUUUCUCUUGGCUGUUCUCUAUGCUUCUUUAAGCUGUUCUCUAUGCUUCUCUUAGCAGUUCUCUUCUCUAAGCUGUUCUCUGUGCUUCUCUUAGCUGUUCUCUAUGCUUCUCUAAGCUGUUCUCUAUGCUUCUCUUAGCUGUUCUCUAUGCUUCUCUAAGCUGUUCUCUAUGUUUCUCUCAGCUGUUCUCUAUGCUUCUCUAAGCUGUUCUCUGUGCUUCUCUUAGCUGUUCUCUAUGCUUCUCUAAG